This 67-nucleotide transfer RNA is filed under the name Chrysomeloidea sp. 8 KM-2017. Its description in RNAcentral is "tRNA-Asn". Lineage: Eukaryota; Metazoa; Arthropoda; Insecta; Coleoptera. The record is from RNAcentral.
UUAAUUGAAACCAAAAUUAGAGGUAUACUACUGUUAAUAGUAAAAAUGAGUUCUAACUCCAAUUAAA